AAUUUACCAAAAUCCCACAACAAAUACCUCAAUAUCUAGUCUAUAGUUUCACUUACAUACAAUCCAAAUGCUUUCAACAAUUGGGAAAUUACCCAUGUUCAAUUGACUCAAGAAACAAGCAUAAAACUUGGUGUACUCUUGCUUCCUAAAAUGAUUAAACAUAAAACUUGAUUUUUAAGGAAAAUUUCUAGCAAUAAAAAUCAUAAAAGAAAAUAAUAAUAAACAAAAUGGAGGAAGGGAAAAAGAGAGAGAAAGAGAGAAUUAUGUUCCGAAACAUCCAAUCCAUUCCAGUGAAAAAAAUGGGGGAAACAGAGAAAAAUAAUAGCAAACUUACAUUUCUCUUCUUAGUUUUGGAGUCCACUCCACCGGUAACCACAGUCUGUCCUCCCUUCAAAUCCAAG
Molecule: unclassified non-coding RNA, 401 nt
Filed under: Hevea brasiliensis (rubber tree)
Lineage: Eukaryota; Viridiplantae; Streptophyta; Magnoliopsida; Malpighiales; Euphorbiaceae
Source: RNAcentral